RNAcentral lists this ribosomal RNA (497 nucleotides) under uncultured bacterium. RNAcentral describes it as "partial 16S ribosomal RNA". It matches the Rfam family "Bacterial small subunit ribosomal RNA", at positions 28 to 507 of the family's 1533-position model. The record is from RNAcentral.
GAUGAACGCUGGCGGCGUGCCUAAUACAUGCAAGUCGAGCGAACAGACGAGGAGCUUGCUCCUCUGACGUUAGCGGCGGACGGGUGAGUAACACGUGGAUAACCUACCUAUAAGACUGGGAUAACUUCGGGAAACCGGAGCUAAUACCGGAUAACAUGUUGAACCGCAUGGUUCAACAGUGAAAGACGGUUUUGCUGUCACUUAUAGAUGGAUCCGCGCCGCAUUAGCUAGUUGGUAAGGUAACGGCUUAUCAAGGCAACGAUGCGUAGCCGACCUGAGAGGGUGAUCGGCCACACUGGAACUGAGACACGGUCCAGACUCCUACGGGAGGCAGCAGUAGGGAAUCUUCCGCAAUGGGCGAAAGCCUGACGGAGCAACGCCGCGUGAGUGAAGAAGGUCUUCGGAUCGUAAAACUCUGUUAUUAGGGAAGAACAAAUGUGUAAGUAACUAUGCACGUCUUGACGGUACCUAAUCAGAAAGCCACGGCUAACUACGUG